RNAcentral lists this ribosomal RNA (406 nucleotides) under Paenibacillus polymyxa. Its description in RNAcentral is "bacterial SSU rRNA". It matches the Rfam family "Bacterial small subunit ribosomal RNA", at positions 106 to 498 of the family's 1533-position model. The record is from RNAcentral. Lineage: Bacteria; Bacillati; Bacillota; Bacilli; Caryophanales; Paenibacillaceae.
GUGAGUAACACGUAGGCAACCUGCCCACAAGACAGGGAUAACUACCGGAAACGGUAGCUAAUACCCGAUACAUCCUUUUCCUGCAUGGGCGAAGGAGGAAAGACGGAGCAAUCUGUCACUUGUGGAUGGGCCUGCGGCGCAUUAGCUAGUUGGUGGGGUAAAGGCCUACCAAGGCGACGAUGCGUAGCCGACCUGAGAGGGUGAUCGGCCACACUGGGACUGAGACACGGCCCAGACUCCUACGGGAGGCAGCAGUAGGGAAUCUUCCGCAAUGGGCGAAAGCCUGACGGAGCAACGCCGCGUGAGUGAUGAAGGUUUUCGGAUCGUAAAGCUCUGUUGCCAGGGAAGAACGUCUUGUAGAGUAACUGCUACAAGAGUGACGGUACCUGAGAAGAAAGCCCCGGCU